UGUUAUUGACCACUGGAAUAAAAGGUCUGACGAAAAAAUAAUUUUCUUUUACUUAAUAUAAAUUAAUUAGUAAAUAAAAAAGUUUAUUUUACCUAGAUAGACGAUAAGACCCUAAAACCUUUAUCGAGUAUAAACCUCUUUUUGCUGGGGAGGCAAACUAUAAUUUCCAUAGUUUAUAAAAACAAAAUAAAUGGCUUUAAAUAACUUAAGCUUAAAUUCAAAAAGGUACUUUAGGGAUAACAGCAUAAUUUUUAUACAGAGUUUACUUAUCGACAUAAAAGAUUAUGACCUCGAUGUUGAAUUGAUAUUACUUUACUAAGCAGCCCUAGUAAUUUGCAGGUCUGUUCGACCUUUAAUUUAUCACAUGAUCUGAGUUCAAACCGGA
Molecule: ribosomal RNA, 385 nt
Filed under: Trachelipus kytherensis
Lineage: Eukaryota; Metazoa; Arthropoda; Malacostraca; Isopoda; Trachelipodidae
Description: partial 16S ribosomal RNA
Rfam family: Bacterial large subunit ribosomal RNA (bases 70-385)
Source: RNAcentral